UCCGAAUUGGUGUAGUGGCUAACAUUUGACGCUCUCAAAGUUGAAAAACAUUGAACCGUCAAGCCCGGGGUUCGAUUCCCCGAUUCGGAG
This 90-nucleotide transfer RNA is filed under the name Hypoxylon rubiginosum. Its description in RNAcentral is "tRNA-Glu". It matches the Rfam family "tRNA". Rfam says of the family: Transfer RNA (tRNA) molecules are approximately 80 nucleotides in length. Their secondary structure includes four short double-helical elements and three loops (D, anti-codon, and T loops). Further hydrogen bonds mediate the characteristic L-shaped molecular structure. tRNAs have two regions of fundamental functional importance: the anti-codon, which is responsible for specific mRNA codon recognition, and the 3' end, to which the tRNAs corresponding amino acid is attached (by aminoacyl-tRNA synthetases). tRNAs cope with the degeneracy of the genetic code in two manners: having more than one tRNA (with a specific anti-codon) for a particular amino acid; and 'wobble' base-pairing, i.e. permitting non-standard base-pairing at the 3rd anti-codon position. The record is from RNAcentral. Lineage: Eukaryota; Fungi; Ascomycota; Sordariomycetes; Xylariales; Hypoxylaceae.